CAAUAGCGUAUAUUAGAGUUGUUGCAGUUAAAAAGCUCGUAGUUGGAUUUCUGAUCGAGACAUCAGGUCGGGUCCGAGAGGAUCAUGUACUUUGAUUUUGUUUUGAUCAUCCCUGGGGAGAGCAUUUCUGGCAUUCAGUUGUCGGGAUUGGGAUCCUCAUCGUUUACUGUGAAAAAAUUAGAGUGUUCAAAGCAGGCCUCGGCCUCUGAAUACAUUAGCAUGGAAUAAUAAGAUAGGACUUUGGUGGUCUAUUUUGUUGGUUUGCACGCCAAAGUAAUGAUUAAUAGGGAUAGUUGGGGGUAUUCGUAUUCAAUUGUCAGAGGUGAAAUUCUUGGAUUUAUGGAAGACGAACUACUGCGAAAGCAUUUACCAAGGAUGUUUUCAUUAA
This 388-nucleotide ribosomal RNA is filed under the name uncultured eukaryote. RNAcentral's name for it is "partial 18S ribosomal RNA". It matches the Rfam family "Eukaryotic small subunit ribosomal RNA", at positions 592 to 976 of the family's 1831-position model. The record is from RNAcentral.